This 403-nucleotide ribosomal RNA is filed under the name Bacteroidota bacterium. RNAcentral's name for it is "Bacteroidetes bacterium partial 16S ribosomal RNA". It matches the Rfam family "Bacterial small subunit ribosomal RNA", at positions 355 to 776 of the family's 1533-position model. The record is from RNAcentral. Lineage: Bacteria; Pseudomonadati; Bacteroidota.
UGGGGAAUAUUGCACAAUGGGGGAAACCCUGAUGCAGCGACGCCGCGUGAACGAAGAAGGUAUUCGUAUCGUAAAGUUCUGUCCUAUGGGAAGAUAAUGACAGUACCAUAGAAGAAAGCUCCGGCUAAAUACGUGCCAGCAGCCGCGGUAAUACGUAUGGAGCGAGCGUUGUCCGGAAUUAUUGGGCGUAAAGGGUACGCAGGCGGAAAUGCAAGUCAGGUGUAAAAGGCAGUAGCUUAACUACUGUAAGCAUUUGAAACUGCAUAUCUUGAGAAGAGUAGAGGUAAGUGGAAUUUUUAGUGUAGCGGUUAAAUGCGUAGAUAUUAAAAAGAAUACCGGUGGCGAAGGCGACUUACUGGGCUCAUUCUGACGCUGAGGAACGAAAGCGUGGGUAGCAAACAGG